This 253-nucleotide ribosomal RNA is filed under the name uncultured bacterium. RNAcentral's name for it is "partial 16S ribosomal RNA". It matches the Rfam family "Bacterial small subunit ribosomal RNA", at positions 524 to 776 of the family's 1533-position model. The record is from RNAcentral.
UACAGAGGGUGCGAGCGUUGUCCGGAAUCACUGGGCGUAAAGGGCGCGUAGGCGGCCGCCUAAGUCAGACGUGAAAUCCCUCGGCUCAACCGGGGAACUGCGUCUGAUACUGGGUGGCUUGAAUUCGGGAGAGGGAUGCGGAAUUCCAGGUGUAGCGGUGAAAUGCGUAGAUAUCUGGAGGAACACCGGUGGCGAAGGCGGCAUCCUGGACCGACAUUGACGCUGAGGCGCGAAAGCCAGGGGAGCAAACGGG